UCUAUAAAUACCUAUCUUCCAAUUUCGUUUUUAGUCGAAACUUUAAUUUUGCCUCUUUCAAAAACCGCGCGCUCUUUCGAUCGAUUCGAUUGCCAUUUCCGGCGAACUCUCCGAUCGCUGAAUCGGAUGGAUACAUCAAACCCUUCAGUUUUUGUCAAUGCUGAGCUUUUACGACUGUAUGUUGGAAGAAGAGUUCGGGCUGUGAUUCAGGUACUGUCUGAAAGCAAUGGAGUCGUAUUUGGUAAAUCAACAGAUGACAACCAGAUCACUGUCAAAGGUUCCCCACCCUUUCCUCUUUCAAAGUUUGUCGAGGUGAUUGGAAUUGCUGAUACCGACAAAUCCAUUCGAGCUGAUGUGUGGACCAAUUUUGGUGAUUCAUUUGAUACAUCUACCUUCAAUCAACUAUGUCUGUUUGCUAAUGGGGAGUUCAAACCCUUGUUUAUCUGAUUUUCAAGCCAGACAUUCUUUAGCAAGAAACCUCAUGGUCUACCUUCCCCUCCCGUGACACGCUAAGUCGACAAUGUUUUCUUCAUGUUCUUCUUAAAGCAUCUGAGAUUUAUCGUUCAUAUGGUAUUGCACUUUUCAGUUUUUCAGGUUAGGAAGCCUUUGUGAAUGCAAAUAAACUGAUAACCGAUGAUUACAAACUGACAAACUAUCAUCUUUUAGCUGAAGCUCAAUGUUAUGAAAAACAUAAUCUAGGGAAUAUAUGCCAACAAAAUUAUAAUCAAAUUCAUUUUUCUA
Molecule: RNA transcript, 741 nt
Organism: Cucumis sativus (cucumber)
Lineage: Eukaryota; Viridiplantae; Streptophyta; Magnoliopsida; Cucurbitales; Cucurbitaceae
Gene name: replication protein A 14 kDa subunit B
Exons: 4
Source: RefSeq, a predicted model, not a curated record